UGGGGAAUUUUGGACAAUGGGCGAAAGCCUGAUCCAGCAAUGCCGCGUGUGUGAAGAAGGCCUUCGGGUUGUAAAGCACUUUUGUCCGGAAAGAAAUCCUUGGCUCUAAUACAGUCGGGGGGUGACGGUACCGGAAGAAUAAGCACCGGCUAACUACGUGCCAGCAGCCGCGGUAAUACGUAGGGUGCAAGCGUUAAUCGGAAUUACUGGGCGUAAAGCGUGCGCAGGCGGUUUGCUAAGACCGAUGUGAAAUCCCCGGGCUCAACCUGGGAACUGCAUGGUGACUGGCAGGCUAGAGUAUGGCAGAGGGGGGUAGAAUUCCACGUGUAGCAGUGAAAUGCGUAGAGAUGUGGAGGAAUACCGAUGGCGAAGGCAGCCCCCUGGGCCAAUACUGACGCUCAUGCACGAAAGCGUGGGGAGCAAACAGGAUUAGAUACCCUGGUAGUCCAGCGCCCUAAACGAUGUCAACUAGUUGUUGGGGAUUCAUUUCCUUAGUAACGUAGCUAACGCGUGAAGUUGACCGCCUGGGGAGUACGUCGCAAGAUUAAAACUCAAAGGAAUUG
RNAcentral lists this ribosomal RNA (563 nucleotides) under uncultured bacterium. RNAcentral describes it as "partial 16S ribosomal RNA". It matches the Rfam family "Bacterial small subunit ribosomal RNA", at positions 355 to 912 of the family's 1533-position model. The record is from RNAcentral.